This 303-nucleotide long non-coding RNA is filed under the name Mytilus galloprovincialis (Mediterranean mussel). Lineage: Eukaryota; Metazoa; Mollusca; Bivalvia; Mytilida; Mytilidae. The record is from RNAcentral.
GUUCGGUAGUGUAAACGCAUUGGAUUAAAUAAGAUCGAUCUCGUCCAUUAAGGAUACAUUAUUUUUUUUAAAUGCUUCCAAAACUAAACUUAUAUUAGACUCUUAUAAAUAAGUAUCACAUAUAACUGUUUCAAAUCCCACAAUCACGGGAAUAACUAAGUUCGGGUACAUGCAUGUUUUGUUUAUCAAAUGUGAAUCAAACCUGAAAAUUCGGGGUAAACAAUAUUUUUGUAACUCGCAACUCGACUUUCUUAACUCGCAACUCGACUUUUGUAACUCGCAACUCGACUUUCCUAACUCGCA